RNAcentral lists this ribosomal RNA (402 nucleotides) under bacterium. Its description in RNAcentral is "partial 16S ribosomal RNA". It matches the Rfam family "Bacterial small subunit ribosomal RNA", at positions 355 to 776 of the family's 1533-position model. The record is from RNAcentral.
UGGGGAAUUUUGCACAAUGGGGGAAACCCUGAUGCAGCGACGCCGCGUGAUUUAGAAGGCCUUCGGGUUGUAAAAAUCUUUUCUAUGGGAAGAAAAUGACAGUACCAUAGGAAUAAGGACCGGCUAAUUACGUGCCAGCAGCCGCGGUAAUACGUAAGGUCCGAGCGUUGUCCGGAAUCAUUGGGCGUAAAGGGUACGUAGGCGGGUAAGCAAGUUAGAAGUGAAAUCCUAUAGCUCAACUAUAGUAAGCUUUUAAAACUGCUCAUCUUGAGGUAUGGAAGGGAAAGUGGAAUUCCUAGUGUAGCGGUGAAAUGCGCAGAUAUUAGAAGGAAUACCGGUGGCGAAGGCGACUUUCUGGCCAUAACCUGACGCUGAGGUACGAAAGCAUGGGUAGCAAACAGG